UACGGAGGAUCCAAGCGUUAUCCGGAUUUAUUGGGUUUAAAGGGUCCGUAGGCGGAUUUUUAAGUCAGUGGUGAAAGCCCGCAGCUCAACUGUGGAAUUGCCUUUGAUACUGGGAAUCUUGAGUGUGCGUGAAGUAGGCGGAAUGUGUCAUGUAGCGGUGAAAUGCAUAGAUAUGACACAGAACACCGAUUGCGAAGGCAGCUUACUAAAGCACUACUGACGCUGAGGGACGAAAGCGUGGGGAGCGAACAGG
This 253-nucleotide unclassified non-coding RNA is filed under the name uncultured Cryomorphaceae bacterium. RNAcentral describes it as "contains 16S-23S intergenic spacer region". It matches the Rfam family "Bacterial small subunit ribosomal RNA", at positions 524 to 776 of the family's 1533-position model. The record is from RNAcentral. Lineage: Bacteria; Pseudomonadati; Bacteroidota; Flavobacteriia; Flavobacteriales; Cryomorphaceae.